Molecule: ribosomal RNA, 1456 nt
Filed under: uncultured organism
Description: SSU rRNA
Rfam family: Bacterial small subunit ribosomal RNA
Source: RNAcentral
GCAGGCCUAACACAUGCAAGUCGAGCGGUAGCACAGAGAGCUUGCUCUCGGGUGACGAGCGGCGGACGGGUGAGUAAUGUCUGGGAAACUGCCUGAUGGAGGGGGAUAACUACUGGAAACGGUAGCUAAUACCGCAUAACGUCGCAAGACCAAAGUGGGGGACCUUCGGGCCUCAUGCCAUCAGAUGUGCCCAGAUGGGAUUAGCUAGUAGGUGGGGUAACGGCUCACCUAGGCGACGAUCCCUAGCUGGUCUGAGAGGAUGACCAGCCACACUGGAACUGAGACACGGUCCAGACUCCUACGGGAGGCAGCAGUGGGGAAUAUUGCACAAUGGGCGCAAGCCUGAUGCAGCCAUGCCGCGUGUGUGAAGAAGGCCUUCGGGUUGUAAAGCACUUUCAGCGGGGAGGAAGGCGGUGAGGUUAAUAACCUCAUCGAUUGACGUUACCCGCAGAAGAAGCACCGGCUAACUCCGUGCCAGCAGCCGCGGUAAUACGGAGGGUGCAAGCGUUAAUCGGAAUUACUGGGCGUAAAGCGCACGCAGGCGGUCUGUCAAGUCGGAUGUGAAAUCCCCGGGCUCAACCUGGGAACUGCAUUCGAAACUGGCAGGCUAGAGUCUUGUAGAGGGGGGUAGAAUUCCAGGUGUAGCGGUGAAAUGCGUAGAGAUCUGGAGGAAUACCGGUGGCGAAGGCGGCCCCCUGGACAAAGACUGACGCUCAGGUGCGAAAGCGUGGGGAGCAAACAGGAUUAGAUACCCUGGUAGUCCACGCCGUAAACGAUGUCGAUUUGGAGGUUGUGCCCUUGAGGCGUGGCUUCCGGAGCUAACGCGUUAAAUCGACCGCCUGGGGAGUACGGCCGCAAGGUUAAAACUCAAAUGAAUUGACGGGGGCCCGCACAAGCGGUGGAGCAUGUGGUUUAAUUCGAUGCAACGCGAAGAACCUUACCUGGUCUUGACAUCCACAGAACUUAGCAGAGAUGCUUUGGUGCCUUCGGGAACUGUGAGACAGGUGCUGCAUGGCUGUCGUCAGCUCGUGUUGUGAAAUGUUGGGUUAAGUCCCGCAACGAGCGCAACCCUUAUCCUUUGUUGCCAGCGGUUAGGCCGGGAACUCAAAGGAGACUGCCAGUGAUAAACUGGAGGAAGGUGGGGAUGACGUCAAGUCAUCAUGGCCCUUACGACCAGGGCUACACACGUGCUACAAUGGCAUAUACAAAGAGAAGCGACCUCGCGAGAGCAAGCGGACCUCAUAAAGUAUGUCGUAGUCCGGAUUGGAGUCUGCAACUCGACUCCAUGAAGUCGGAAUCGCUAGUAAUCGUAGAUCAGAAUGCUACGGUGAAUACGUUCCCGGGCCUUGUACACACCGCCCGUCACACCAUGGGAGUGGGUUGCAAAAGAAGUAGGUAGCUUAACCUUCGGGAGGGCGCUUACCACUUUGUGAUUCAUGACUGGGGUGAAGUCGUA